This 117-nucleotide ribosomal RNA is filed under the name uncultured archaeon. Its description in RNAcentral is "partial 16S ribosomal RNA". It matches the Rfam family "Archaeal small subunit ribosomal RNA", at positions 339 to 458 of the family's 1478-position model. The record is from RNAcentral.
UUAGGAAUCUUCUGCAAUGUACGAAAGUAUGACAGAUUGAGUCAGAGUGCUUUUCAUAUGAAAAGCUUUUGCCAAAUGUAAAAAGUUUGGCGAAUAAGGACUGGGUAAGACGGGUGC